Molecule: transfer RNA, 75 nt
Filed under: Chryseobacterium populi
Lineage: Bacteria; Pseudomonadati; Bacteroidota; Flavobacteriia; Flavobacteriales; Weeksellaceae
Also listed under: 1 other name
Description: Chryseobacterium sp. CF314 tRNA-OTHER
Source: RNAcentral
GGUCUAUUGAGGUAAUGGCUAACCUGCCCGACUGUCUCUUGGGCACUGCGAGUUCGAUUCUCGCAUAGACCGCAA